GACGAACGCUGGCGGCGUGCUUAACACAUGCAAGUCGAACGAAAAGAGGGAAAGAGCUUGCUCUUUCCGGAAUUGAGUGGCAAACGGGUGAGUAACACGUAAACAACCUGCCUUCAGGAUGGGGACAACAGACGGAAACGACUGCUAAUACCGAAUAAGUUCCAAGAGCCGCAUGGCCCAUGGAAGAAAAGGUGGCCUCUACCUGUAAGCUAUCGCCUGAAGAGGGGUUUGCGUCUGAUUAGCUGGUUGGAGGGGUAACGGCCCACCAAGGCGACGAUCAGUAGCCGGUCUGAGAGGAUGAACGGCCACACUGGACUGGAGACACGGUCCAGACUCCUACGGGAGGCAGCAGUGGGGAAUCUUCCGCAAUGGGCGAAAGCCUGACGGAGCAACGCCGCGUGAGUGAUGACGGCCUUCGGGUUGUAAAACUCUGUGAUCCGGGACGAAAAGGCAGAGUGCGAAGAACAAACUGCAUUGACGGUACCGGAAAAGCAAGCCACGGCUAACUACGUG
Molecule: ribosomal RNA, 513 nt
Filed under: uncultured bacterium
Lineage: Bacteria
Description: partial 16S ribosomal RNA
Rfam family: Bacterial small subunit ribosomal RNA
Source: RNAcentral